AACUUGCGUGUGUAUUCUUUCUGUGAAUAAGGGUAGGUAGGCUGGGUUGCUAUUGUCCUGCAGAAACGUACUAUUUUUAAUCUUACAGACGGGUUUUUUGCAGUGACAGUCUGUACUGGUGAGUGGAAGGGAUAAGUAUAGCAGAGACAAUGCAUUAACUUCUUUUGGAGUAGUUUCCUAUUUGUUUCUAUUUGCAAUUGCUUGAUAAAGAAGAUUUCUGUGAUUUGUCUCUUUUGACAUAUCAUGACCUUAGCUGAAAGUUUUCUUGUUGACCUCGUCCAUUAUUUUGAUGAUCCUAGCUGAAAGUUCAAUACUGACUUAGUCCAAUAAAAAAAUUUCAAUUAUGUCAAGCUAUCAUAUUUGUUGUCUUGGCUUUCCUUGGAAAGAUCUCCUGGUAUUGCAACCCUAUUUUAAAUUGAUUCAAGUUCUUCAAGUUAUUGCCUUGUUGGGGACAAUGUAAAUGUCAACCUUUUUGUUUCAUGCUGAUCCAUUCUCAGUUUUCAUGUAUUGUUUGAAUUGAGUAUCAGAUUCUCAAGAGUAAUGUUGUGACACAUAAGCAAUAUGCAUGGUAUAACAAUCCAGUUGUCAGAUGCUAUUACCAUUAAAUCAUUUGAACUCAUUAAGGGUUAGAUUCCAAAGCCAAUUGUUGCAAAUGGAUAUACUUCUCUGUUUCCUGAAAUAUAUGUCU
RNAcentral lists this small RNA (688 nucleotides) under Oryza sativa Japonica Group (Japanese rice). RNAcentral's name for it is "sRNA Os03g0197050". The record is from RNAcentral. Lineage: Eukaryota; Viridiplantae; Streptophyta; Magnoliopsida; Poales; Poaceae.